Molecule: ribosomal RNA, 253 nt
Filed under: uncultured bacterium
Lineage: Bacteria
Description: partial 16S ribosomal RNA
Rfam family: Bacterial small subunit ribosomal RNA
Source: RNAcentral
UACGUAGGGACCGAGCGUUGUCCGGAUUCAUUGGGCGUAAAGAGCUCGUAGGCGGCUAUUCAAGUCGAACGUGAAAUCUCGGAGCUUAACUCCGAAACUGCAUUCGAUACUGCCGUGCUUGAGGACUGGAGAGGAGACUGGAAUUUACGGUGUAGCGGUGAAAUGCGUAGAUAUCGUAAGGAAGACCAGUGGCGAAGGCGGGUCUCUGGACAGUUCCUGACGCUGAGGCACGAAGGUCAGGGGAGCAAACGGG